AGCGCGCCCCAGCCUGAGUGGAGCUCUUUUUCUGUUAUUGCGAUUGGGAAAAGUUCAAUUUACUGAGUCACGUCGUUCGCAAUGACAGAAAAAAGCGGGAACGGAGGAUGGAUAAAGGC
Molecule: small RNA, 119 nt
Filed under: Epilithonimonas xixisoli
Lineage: Bacteria; Pseudomonadati; Bacteroidota; Flavobacteriia; Flavobacteriales; Weeksellaceae
Description: Chryseobacterium xixisoli Flavo-1 RNA
Source: RNAcentral